GGGACGCAGCAGGCGCGAAAACUUUGCAAUAAGCGAAAGCUUGACAGGGCUAUCCCGAGUGCCAUCCGCUGAGGAAGGCUUUUACCCAGUCUAGUAAGCUGGGGGAAUAAGGAGAGGGCAAGUCUGGUGUCAGCCGCCGCGGUGAUACCAGCUCUCCGAGUGGUGUGGAUGUUUAUUGGGCCUAAAGCAUCCGUAGCUGGCUGAGUUAGUCCCCUGUUAGAUCCACCGAAUCAACCGUUGGGUUGCGGGGGAUACUGCUCGGCUAGGGGACGGGAGAGGCAGACGGUAUUUUCGGGGUAGGGGUGAAAUCCUAUAAUCCCGGGAAGACCACCAGUGGCGAAGGCUGUCUGCUAGAACGCGCCCGACGGUGAGGGAUGAAAGCUGGGGUAGCGAACCGGAUUAGAUACCCGGGUAGUCCCAGCUGUAAACGAUGCAGGCUAGGUGUUUGGGCGGCCACGUGCCGCUCUAGUGCCGCAGGGAAGCUGUUAAGCCUGCCGCCUGGGGAGUACGAUCGCAAGAUUGAAACUUAAAGGAAUUGGCGGGGGAGCAC
This 550-nucleotide ribosomal RNA is filed under the name uncultured archaeon. RNAcentral describes it as "bacterial SSU rRNA". It matches the Rfam family "Archaeal small subunit ribosomal RNA", at positions 327 to 879 of the family's 1478-position model. The record is from RNAcentral.